GCUCCCGUAGGAGUUCGGGCGAAGUCUACCUGCAAUUGAAGUUGGUGGCGAAGUCCGGCUCCCGUAGGAGUCCGGACGAGGUCUAGAAGGUGGUCUAUCAUUGUGGAAACUUGGGUGGAGUCCAUCCGUCAUGAAGAAUCCGGUCGAUGCUGGUGCGGGCUUAUCCGUCGGCAAAACUUGGGAGUGUUGCGGAGGCUCGAUCGCCAGAGAGGUUCGGAGAGAUGUCGCUG
RNAcentral lists this long non-coding RNA (230 nucleotides) under Elaeis guineensis (African oil palm). RNAcentral describes it as "long non-coding RNA (EGUI_LNC053844)". The record is from RNAcentral. Lineage: Eukaryota; Viridiplantae; Streptophyta; Magnoliopsida; Arecales; Arecaceae.